This is a long non-coding RNA of Vespula pensylvanica (western yellowjacket), 912 nucleotides long. RefSeq lists it as uncharacterized. The record is from RefSeq and is a predicted model, not a curated record. Lineage: Eukaryota; Metazoa; Arthropoda; Insecta; Hymenoptera; Vespidae. The transcript has 3 exons.
CGAGAAUUAAUUUCUAUAUUUGUUAUAUUUACUUUCUAAAUAUAUAUGUAUCAUAUAAAACGUAAUAUGUACCUACUUAAAAAAAAUUAUCAACUCUUGUGGAAGAAAACGUUGAAUUAUUGAUUCAGAAAAAGAGGGAGGGAGAGAGAAAGAGAGAUUAAUAGAGAGAAAGAAAAAAAAGGAAAAAAAAAGAGAGAGAAAGAAAUAUCGAAAGAUCGAUAAACACGGCUCGAAUAAUUUUUAUCCGAGAAUUAAUAUAAUGAUCGAUAACCCAGUUUAGAUUCCGGACACUUCACUACGAGAGUCAAGAGCGUUAUACUGCGCAGGACAGAACUACGUGGAGUCGAAUAGAUGUCAGGUCGAUAAGGUAUGGGUGGUAAGUGAAACUAAGCACAAGAAAAAAAGAAAAAAGAGAAGAAAAAGAAUAUUGUAAAUAACACAUUAAGAAGAUAUUUUCUCUUUAAUAACACCAUGACCUCGUCGUGUGUUCCUUUUUCUAGAUGCUCGUAUAUGUUAUGUACGUGUAACGGACGAGUCAAAGUACGCGCGGCGGAACAGGAACGACCGGAAUCGCAGCAGCUGAAUCGACCGACCCUCUUCUCUUGUCUCCAUCAUGGUAAAGCGCGAAGGUUCUUUAAAAAUGGCGUCCAUCGGUCUUUUUGCAUGCACGAGGACGGCUAAUAGAGUAGUCGCAGAAUUUUCCGUUAGACGUCACGCUGCACUUUGUCCCGAAUGAUCGAAAAGGAGGAAAAAAAAGGAUGACAAUGAGGAUAACGAUGAUCGAUAAUUAUGAACGACUAGACAAAAUCUGACAAAUGAAAAAAAAAAAAAAGAAAAGAGAAAAAAAUAUACAUAUACAUACACAUGUGAAGAUAGAAUAUAAAUAAUAUUACAAGAAAAUCUUACUAGGAU